RNAcentral lists this ribosomal RNA (320 nucleotides) under Bacillus licheniformis. RNAcentral's name for it is "bacterial SSU rRNA". It matches the Rfam family "Bacterial small subunit ribosomal RNA", at positions 358 to 669 of the family's 1533-position model. The record is from RNAcentral. Lineage: Bacteria; Bacillati; Bacillota; Bacilli; Caryophanales; Bacillaceae.
GGAAUCUUCCGCAAUGGACGAAAGUCUGACGGAGCAACGCCGCGUGAGUGAUGAAGGUUUUCGGAUCGUAAAACUCUGUUGUUAGGGAAGAACAAGUACCGUUCGAAUAGGGCGGUACCUUGACGGUACCUAACCAGAAAGCCACGGCUAACUACGUGCCAGCAGCCGCGGUAAUACGUAGGUGGCAAGCGUUGUCCGGAAUUAUUGGGCGUAAAGCGCGCGCAGGCGGUUUCUUAAGUCUGAUGUGAAAGCCCCCGGCUCAACCGGGGAGGGUCAUUGGAAACUGGGGAACUUGAGUGCAGAAGAGGAGAGUGGAAUUC